UGUACCUACGGGGGGCAGCAGUGGGGAAUAUUGGGCAAUGGGCGCAAGCCUGACCCAGCAACGCCGCGUGAAGGAAGAAGGCUUUCGGGUUGUAAACUUCUUUUCUCAGGGACGAAGCAAGUGACGGUACCUGAGGAAUAAGCCACGGCUAACUACGUGCCAGCAGCCGCGGUAAUACGUAGGUGGCAAGCAUUAUCCGGAUUUACUGGGUGUAAAGGGCGUGUAGGCGGGGACGCAAGUCAGAUGUGAAAAGCAAGGGCUCAAACUGGGGCCUGCAUUUGAAACUGUGUUUCU
Molecule: ribosomal RNA, 294 nt
Filed under: uncultured bacterium
Lineage: Bacteria
Description: partial 16S ribosomal RNA
Rfam family: Bacterial small subunit ribosomal RNA
Source: RNAcentral